GCCACUGCCAUUACAGAAGAGUCAAAAAGGAGAGCCAGCAAUACCCUGAACACCAACACCAUGAACUUGACAUCAGCUUUGGCUCCUGCUAGGGAAUUCUUUGGUGCAUUUUGAGUGAUGGACGGCCAGGGAAAUGCCCACCUGGCCCCGGUGAGAGCUAGCACAAGUCUGACCACCCAAAGCCCUCCUUACCCAAUUCAGAAUGGAAGCAAAGAGCUGAGAGUAACAGCUCGAAAUGACCAGCAGCCCUACCUGGGAUGGUGGUGUGGACAAAGCUGCUCCACAGGAAGGAGUGCGACCUUCCCUCUAUGUCCAAGCUCCAUAAACCAGGGUAAAGGUCAAACUAAGACUCCACCCCCUUCCCACCCCAAAUGCCCUGGCUUUCCUGGAUAAGGAGUGCACAGCCCUAAUAAACACCUCCUGGUCUGCGGAGCUGUGGGGCUGAUGGGAAAGCAAGGGCGGCUGUCCUCCAGGCCUCGUGGGAACUCAGGUAAGGAACAAGUCGUCCUCUGUCCACAGAAUGUGCUGGGACAACUCCCUCCCCUUCUGGUAAGUAACUGAAGGCUUCUCAGAGAGGUUGAGGAACUUGCUCAGAGCCCCACAGACAGUCUGAGGCCCAGCCCUGUAUUUGAACUUCUCGUAUCAAAGCCCUUGGGGAUUCGAAGAAAAAGUGGAGACCCAGGCUGAAAAAGUCAAUGACCAUCUUUAUGAAGGAAAAGGAACUUCCCGAGUCGUUAUUAAAGUAAUGCCUGGGGGGAUCCGGAAUGGGAAGUAGCCUGCUUCCCGGCAGAGGAGUGUUCAGGGCCAAGGACACAGUGUUUUCUAAGGCACAUUCCAGGGCAGGGAAAGCCUGCCUAUGGCCAUCAGGCCCAGGGCCUUCGCUGGCCCUUCCUCUGCAUCGUGCUCACUGUGGACGUGGCUUCCUUCCGAGGACAGUGGGCCUCCAGCCAGAGGCCUCGGGACAGACGGCUUGGCCAGCUUCCCUGGGAUGUAAUGCAGAGAGAUAUUUUCCCCUCCGACUCCAUGGUUCCCCACUCAGAGAAAAUAAAUAGAAGAAAAUGAGCCUCUAUCACAACUGAGGAUACCAAGUCACCAACGGAAGACUCACAGGCCAAAAUUAAACUGUAACCAAAAUCCCGUAAUUUCUGACUCAGGCCCACACGGGAUCUCAAGGUGAACUCUCGGGUCAGCCUUCAGCCUGGGAACGGGGGCCAGGCAGGUGCAUCCUCGUGGAAAGAGGGAACAUAAGCCCGAGAGGAAGGCCCUGGCUGGAAGUCCACCAGGCCUAGUGGGACAGUGACUCUGGAUUUGGUCAUUUUGCUUGGGACACGUCCAUGAGAGAGCAUCAUCCUUCCUGCCAGUAGCCCCCAGUGUCUAGGCUACCCAGUACGAGAAGGAAGGAAGGGGCUUCCACGUCUCACAGCCCUGUGCUCUAGGAGGGGUGAGAGACAGGAUUCAAGAACUGCAGCAACCAUGUUAAUGACCAUGACUUUCCCCCAGAAACACAGGAUUUUCCUACCUUUGAUGAGUGAACCAAAACGGUAGCAGUAGAGGAAAGGCAUACUGCUUGCGGGGUGUGGAGC
RNAcentral lists this long non-coding RNA (1583 nucleotides) under Marmota monax (woodchuck). The record is from RNAcentral. Lineage: Eukaryota; Metazoa; Chordata; Mammalia; Rodentia; Sciuridae.